UUAUCUAUGUUUAUCUCUGGUUACGUGCAUCACGUGUUUUUCGAAAACUUGAGAAUAUUAAAAAUCCAUAUUAAUCGAUGCGAUAAAAUAAAUAUGAGUCAAAAUGUAAAAACCGUGCUUGUGGCUCAGUGUUAUGAUGUGCCUUCAAGAGGGUAAUUACGGUAUAAUUAUGGCUUAAAACCCCGCAAACAUGUAAAGGUGAUACUGCUGUUCUGGACUUGAAGCAUUGAAGACGUUAAGUAUCACAUGAGAAAACCACACACGAAAAAUGUUCGCAUAAGAUACGGCAAAAACCUAAAGGUAAUGUCGCUGUUGUGGACUUGAAGCAUUGAAGAUGCUAGGCAUCACCAGAUCUCCAGAUCCAGUGAGAAAACCACACACGAAAAAUUU
This is a long non-coding RNA of Dendroctonus ponderosae (mountain pine beetle), 390 nucleotides long. RefSeq lists it as uncharacterized. Lineage: Eukaryota; Metazoa; Arthropoda; Insecta; Coleoptera; Curculionidae. The transcript is spliced from 3 exons. The record is from RefSeq and is a predicted model, not a curated record.